RNAcentral lists this long non-coding RNA (797 nucleotides) under Nicotiana benthamiana. Its description in RNAcentral is "long non-coding RNA (NBEN_LNC020962)". The record is from RNAcentral. Lineage: Eukaryota; Viridiplantae; Streptophyta; Magnoliopsida; Solanales; Solanaceae.
GUGGAAGCCUACAAGAAAUGAAGAUGAUGAUGGCUAUGGCAUUGACCUCGACAUGAGCCUUCCUCAAGCCCUUCAAAGGUGGCAAGCUGAUGAAGGAACUUCAAGAAUGUUCGAUGACUUCUCGAUCAGUGACACGCAGUCGAGCAUACCCUCAAAACCUUCCGGAUUUGCAGAUACUUUCAAUUCAACAGAUUGCAGAUAAAAAUUUUGGUAACAGGUCAAGCCAUCCCACGCCUCCAACGGUUUUAAUCCUAUGCGGAUCAACUUAAAUCAGUGACACACAGUCAAGCAUACCCUCAAAACCUUCUGGAUUUGCAGAUACUUUUAAUUCAACAGAUUGCAGAUAAAAUUUUUGGUAACAGGUCAAGCCAUGCCACGCCUUCGACGCUUUUAAUACUCUGUGGAUCAACAUACAGUAUACCAAUUCAUUUGAUUAAUUGGUUUCCUCCUGUCAAUGUCAUUUGCUUCUUAUGUAGUUACAUCUCUUUUUGUAACAAAUUUAUUAUAGUCUAGAUGCAAGUUGUGAUAACAGAAGGUUUAAGUCAGGUGAGUGUUACUUUUCCCUUUUGCCUUUUUUGGAUUGUAUCAAAUUCUUUCAUAUGUUGUCAAUGUAAAUAGAAUUGAGCUUCAUAUUUUCUUUCUACCUUGUGUUAAUCCAAAGAUUUGAUUUAGUUUACACUAGUAGCUAGCAUGGUACUUAUUAAGUCCUAUGUCAAUUCUGGUCAGCUCGGUGCAUAAAGCUGUCCGUAUUCAUGAAGGAUUCGGGAUGUGCCGCACCCAAAAGGAUAUAAUGUAAG